UGGUAAUGGUAAGGGAGGUGACAGAAGAGAGUGAGCACAUAUGGUGUUUUUUUCUCGCAUGAGUGAUUCUUACAUGCUUGAAGCUAUGCGUGCUCACUCUCUCUCUGUCACCCCAUCUCUCUCUCUCUCUC
This 131-nucleotide microRNA precursor is filed under the name Orobanche cernua var. cumana. Its description in RNAcentral is "miR156c". The stretch from base 18 to 111 matches the Rfam family "mir-156 microRNA precursor family". Rfam says of the family: This family represents the plant microRNA (miRNA) precursor mir-156. Animal miRNAs are transcribed as ~70nt precursors and subsequently processed by the Dicer enzyme to give a ~22nt product. Lineage: Eukaryota; Viridiplantae; Streptophyta; Magnoliopsida; Lamiales; Orobanchaceae. The record is from RNAcentral.